Myotis davidii is the source of this 820-nucleotide long non-coding RNA. RefSeq lists it as uncharacterized. NCBI's taxonomy places the organism in Eukaryota, Metazoa, Chordata, Mammalia, Chiroptera, Vespertilionidae. The record is from RefSeq and is a predicted model, not a curated record. The transcript has 3 exons.
GACACCAACAAGAGAACAUGUGUUAGAGAUGCAAGCAAUUAGUUCAUAUAUUACAACUUUCAACCUCUGAGCAAAACAGGCAACAAAAAUUUCCUCUUGACAAAAAGCUACACAGAUAAGAUCAGCUUCAUUCCCACACAAUGCCAUGGCCCUGCCUUGGAGCAGCCCCGAAGGAGUCUGGGAGGGAGGGAGGGAGGGUCAGGGACUCAGGGGUCUGCAGGGUGUGCGCCCCAGGGGUAGGUGGCUGCUGGGCUCCGGAGUGGAGGAGAAGUGGAGUCUGAAAUGAAAGAAGUGCCCCUUGGAACCGGGUCACGAAGCUGGCUGCCUGCUCCUUGCUGGGGCUUUCUAAUGAAACUGAAGGGAAAAUGAAUUCUCAUUGCUGUUUUCAAAGGAGAGAAGGUGCCUGCAAAAGGAAAUGGGCUCAGAGAAGACAGGGAGCUUGCCAAGGUUACACAGCCACCAGGAAGCGACAGGGUCUGGCCUUGGACCCGGAGCCUACACAUUCUAACCGCCGCUCAGCAUUGUUCCUCUGUCAUAGUCUGCAAGCUGGAGAAGAUGCCGCCUCGGCUCCCCGGGCACACAGCGGCAGAAGCAAACAGAGAAGUGCUGAGCAGACUGCCCCUCAGGUCCCCCGGGGAGAUGGGCACCCAGGAGCCCACGGCUCUUCACCAGGGCUCGAAGCUGACGUCCGCACACGCGUCCCCGGGAACCUGUGUGGCUUGUUUUCUCCCACUGCUGGGGACAGAGUUUGCCUGGGGCAGGGAUGGAGGGCGAGGAAGGAGCCUUUGUCUCUCCCGUAAUCUCUCUCUCAGAACUAAAA